UACGUGUCGAAAAAUACAGGGAAGAAUAUGACAAGUAUAGGAUAUACAGCUGUUCACAAUGGACCAUUAAUCAACUGUUUGCACUGCCAAUCAUCCUGAAGUAUCUAUACAUCAAAGAUACAAAGAUGAAGGAAAGUGUGUCCAUUGUUGCAACUACCAUCUUCCAGUUCCUUAAUUUGAGAAUAAUAUAAGAGAACACACAGUUACAGUGAAAUCUUAGUUUAAUAUCAGUCACUAAGAAUAGUAGACUGUACUUUCCUAAAGCAGCUGAAUGACAUGCGGCACAAAAAUCUUAGUGUAAAAGAGUAUGAUUUUAUGGUGGUUGACACUAUGACACCAUAAUCUAGUUAACUUGUUAAUGUCACAAUGAUUGAAGCAGAGGGAAAUAUCCGAAUUUCAUUUCAGUUUUAAGUAUUGAAACAAGAUACUCUAUAUAUACCAAAGUAGAAAACACACCAUAUAUAAAGAUUUUCAUGGAAUCACAGUGUUGUCAUAUGUCAUUAUGAACAAAUGACUAUCAUGUAAAGAUGAAAAAGAAGAAGAAAAUGCAAAAAUAUAAUAUAUCUUCUACUAAUAAUAUUGUAAGUGUAUUCAUUGAUAAUCUUUUAAAUUUGCAUUCAAAGCUUGAUAUCAAGCUGACCAUUUUUCAAUUAGAAUAUGAUUUAUAACUCUAUAAUAAUAUGUUCAUGUCAACUUUCAAAGUCUUUACAUUUGUAAAAGGAAAUAUUUUUAUUCUUGUAUCAGUAGACAUUCUCAGUGUAAAGUUUCUUGAUAACAUUUUCAAGUGUUUUCCUGAAGUUUUUCUUUCACUGGAAAAUAAAUGGAUAUACAUUUGUAUUUGCAAAGCAGUGCACUAUAAAUUGUGAAAAAAUAAAAGUUUAUUCAACUUA
Molecule: long non-coding RNA, 890 nt
Organism: Ruditapes philippinarum (Manila clam)
Lineage: Eukaryota; Metazoa; Mollusca; Bivalvia; Venerida; Veneridae
Exons: 3
Source: RefSeq, a predicted model, not a curated record